Molecule: unclassified non-coding RNA, 22 nt
Filed under: Dictyostelium discoideum
Lineage: Eukaryota; Evosea; Eumycetozoa; Dictyosteliales; Dictyosteliaceae
Source: RNAcentral
AACAACUUUGGAAACAAUGCCU